This 228-nucleotide long non-coding RNA is filed under the name Malus domestica (apple). RNAcentral's name for it is "long non-coding RNA (MDOM_LNC012105)". The record is from RNAcentral. Lineage: Eukaryota; Viridiplantae; Streptophyta; Magnoliopsida; Rosales; Rosaceae.
CGGCCUCUUGGGCUCUCGAACCUGAAGACAAGGUUACUAUUCUUACGAAGUUCAAUAUCAAAUUCGGCUUUCAAUGUGCCGAAUGUAAUAACUGUAACACCUCACUUCGCCGAGAAGGCUGAUGAGAUGACCUCGACCAAUAAGGGUUCAGAAACCCUUCUCGACCGAGACUUGGAUAGGUAAUCAACCGUUCUCGCCGCAGUGCUGUUGAUGCCAACAGAAGAUACU